RNAcentral lists this long non-coding RNA (348 nucleotides) under Androctonus crassicauda. Lineage: Eukaryota; Metazoa; Arthropoda; Arachnida; Scorpiones; Buthidae. The record is from RNAcentral.
GGUUCAUGUGAUACUAUUUUUCUUUCUGCUGCAUAAAUUCAUUCCCAGUUUAAAUUCGUACAGUAUACAAGGCCAAUGAUGAUGGUGCCAUGAAGUAUCAUAAAGAAUGCACUUCUCAUGAUAGAUCAGCAGUCUGUCCAGAAACAGAUCCUUCCUUUGACAAGACAGCAAAGAAACCUUGACAUUUGCUCAUAUUGCUUCCUGAGUCACAUUCGACGUAUGGGACUCAUAGUCCCACUUUAUAUCAUUUCUCAAACUGAUGGAGGUGUAUUGUUGAAUGGUUUCUGCAUUGUAAUUGAAUGCUUCUCCCAAUGUUUCACAUGUUUGGCCACAAUUAGUCUCAAUAAC